This 219-nucleotide ribosomal RNA is filed under the name uncultured Serratia sp. RNAcentral describes it as "partial 16S ribosomal RNA". It matches the Rfam family "Bacterial small subunit ribosomal RNA", at positions 111 to 333 of the family's 1533-position model. The record is from RNAcentral. Lineage: Bacteria; Pseudomonadati; Pseudomonadota; Gammaproteobacteria; Enterobacterales; Yersiniaceae.
UAAUGUCUGGGAAACUGCCUGAUGGAGGGGGAUAACUACUGGAAACGGUAGCUAAUACCGCAUAACGUCGCAAGACCAAAGAGGGGGACCUUCGGGCCUCUUGCCAUCAGAUGUGCCCAGAUGGGAUUAGCUAGUGGGUGGGGUAAUGGCUCACCUAGGCGACGAUCCCUAGCUGGUCUGAGAGGAUGACCAGCCACACUGGAACUGAGACACGGUCCA